UGGGGAAUUUUGGACAAUGGGGGAAACCCUGAUCCAGCCAUCCCGCGUGUGCGAUGAAGGCCUUCGGGUUGUAAAGCACUUUUGGCAGGAAAGAAACGUCAUGGGCUAAUACCCCGUGAAACUGACGGUACCUGCAGAAUAAGCACCGGCUAACUACGUGCCAGCAGCCGCGGUAAUACGUAGGGUGCAAGCGUUAAUCGGAAUUACUGGGCGUAAAGCGUGCGCGGGCGGUUCGGAAAGAAAGAUGUGAAAUCCCAGAGCUUAGCGUUUAAACUGCGUUUUUAACUAACGAGCUUGAGUGUGUCAGAGGGAGGUGGGAUUCCGCGUGUAGGAGAGAAAUGCGUAAGUAAACGGAGAAACACCGAUGGCGAAGGCAGCCGCCUGGGAUAACGCUGUCGCUAAUGCACGAAAGGGUGGGGAGCAAACAGG
RNAcentral lists this ribosomal RNA (429 nucleotides) under Acidobacteriota bacterium. RNAcentral's name for it is "Acidobacteria bacterium partial 16S ribosomal RNA". It matches the Rfam family "Bacterial small subunit ribosomal RNA", at positions 355 to 776 of the family's 1533-position model. Lineage: Bacteria; Pseudomonadati; Acidobacteriota. The record is from RNAcentral.